RNAcentral lists this long non-coding RNA (1429 nucleotides) under Sparus aurata (gilthead seabream). RNAcentral's name for it is "lncRNA (ENSSAUG00010008510.1)". The record is from RNAcentral. Lineage: Eukaryota; Metazoa; Chordata; Actinopteri; Spariformes; Sparidae.
GUCACCAGGAGCUGAUCUUCUCUGCGAGAGAGUGGAAUCAGCUGAAAGAACUGUGUGAUAUCCUCAAGUCCUUUUCAGAAGCCACUGAUCUCACACAGGGUGAGAAGUCUGUGACUAUCAGCGCCGUUCUUCCUAGUGUGUUGUCCCUAAACAACCACCUGGAGAAACUCAAGCAGAAGGUUGGUUAUUGUUACACACACACACACACACACACACACACACUCUAAUUUAUUUAUUUGUUCAGGUUCAGUUACUGGGAGGCGUGGUCAGGUGCCUUCAGAUCUCCCUCAAAACAAGAUUCCGUGGGAUCCUGGUCAAUGUGAAAAUGGAAACUGCAGCGCCAGACGAACCACAGCCUCUACCUUUUGCAGACCCCCUGUAUAUUAGAGCAGCUGUCCUGGACCCAGAAUACUCUAUAAUGUGGCUGAAACAAGACGUCCUUGUCAACGAUGAUGUCAAGAGGGAGGUGUCUGACAUGGUGAAAGAACUGAUCCUACGGGAGGUGCCAGCUGACCAGACACCUGAGACUCCAGAGGGAGAGGAGGAGCUGUUGGAGGAGGAAGGGGUUGGGCUCUACGCAGGAUACAAGAAGCGCCGCAAGCGGGACACAAUGACACCAGAAGCUCAGCUGAACAACUACCUUAGCCUUGAUACUGAUCAGACUUGUCUCACAUUUUGGGAGGCAAAUAAAAACUCCCUCCCUGCACUUUAUAAGAUUGCCAUUAGAGCACUUGCAGUGCCCGCAACUAGUGCGCCAGUCGAGAGAGUCUUUAGCCACGGUGGCAUCAUUUUGAGACCACAUCAUUCUCGCAUGAAGGGCGGCACCCUCUCAAACCUUGUGUUUCUCAAGUGCAACAAUCUGUGAAUGUACUGUAUGUAACAGAGCCACUACUUGACUCUGUAACAUAGAGGGUUAGGUUGCACAAAUAAUUUUACUUUGGAAAGGUUGAAUUUACCCAGCUCUUAUUUCUUUUAUAACGCUUAUCUUUAAAAUAUGUUGAUAUCUCUUUAGAAUUUUCUGACAAAAUAAUACUCAUAGUGGAGUGACUGUCAGUCCAUGCAAACAUCUUGACAAAAGAUGAAUCCCUUAAAUGGAUGGUCCUUUAUUUUAAGUUAUGUUUAUAUUUAAGCUCCUGCUCUGUGCUGUUUAGUUUACAUUGCACUUUGUUUGCACUGAUCAUAAUUUUGUUUGCCUUUGUAAAGGUAGCUACCUCGAAUGUAAAACAAAAAGAUUGCAAUUUAAAUGUUGCAAAUGUACCAAAUAAACAUUUUUUUUGUGUCAAACAUGCCAUUUCUUUAAUGGAAUGUAGCCUAGCCUUUGCCAUCUACCUAGGUCUAAAUGAUCAAACAUGUAAUGGAUAAAUGUAUAGCUUUUAAGCUUUAUGCUGGUGUAAUCCAUGCAGAGUUGCAGACUAAUCUGCAUGGUAUU